Molecule: ribosomal RNA, 253 nt
Filed under: uncultured bacterium
Lineage: Bacteria
Description: partial 16S ribosomal RNA
Rfam family: Bacterial small subunit ribosomal RNA
Source: RNAcentral
UACGUAGGCAGCAAGCGUUGUUCGGAGUUACUGGGCGUAAAGAGUGCGUAGGCGGUUCCGUAAGUUUGGUGUGAAAUCUCCCGGCUCAACUGGGAGGGUGCGCCGAAGACUGCGGUGCUUGAGUGUGGGAAAGGUAGGCGGAAUUCCUGGUGUAGCGGUGAAAUGCGUAGAUAUCAGGAGGAACACCGGUGGCGAAGGCGGGUCUCUGGGCAACAACUGACGCUGAGGAGCGAAAGCGUGGGGAGCGAACAGG